RNAcentral lists this ribosomal RNA (301 nucleotides) under uncultured bacterium. RNAcentral describes it as "partial 16S ribosomal RNA". It matches the Rfam family "Bacterial small subunit ribosomal RNA", at positions 509 to 807 of the family's 1533-position model. The record is from RNAcentral.
CAGUCGCCGCGGGAAUACAGAGGGUGCAAGCGUUAAUCGGAAUUACUGGGCGUAAAGCGCGCGUAGGUGGUUUGUUAAGUUGGAUGUGAAAGCCCCGGGCUCAACCUGGGAACUGCAUCCAAAACUGGCAAGCUAGAGUACGGUAGAGGGUGGUGGAAUUUCCUGUGUAGCGGUGAAAUGCGUAGAUAUAGGAAGGAACACCAGUGGCGAAGGCGACCACCUGGACUGAUACUGACACUGAGGUGCGAAAGCGUGGGGAGCAAACAGGAUUAGAUACCCGGGUAGUCCCUGUCUCUUAUAC